UAGGGAAUCUUCCACAAUGGACGCAAGUCUGAUGGAGCAACGCCGCGUGAGUGAAGAAGGUUUUCGGACCGUAAAGCUCUGUUGUUGGUGAAGAAGGAUAGAGGUAGUAACUGGCCUUUAUUUGACGGUAAUCAACCAGAAAGUCACGGCUAACUACGUGCCAGCAGCCGCGGUAAUACGUAGGUGGCAAGCGUUGUCCGGAUUUAUUGGGCGUAAAGCGAGCGCAGGCGGAAGAAUAAGUCUGAUGUGAAAGCCCUCGGCUUAACCGAGGAAUUGCAUCGGAAACUGUUUUCUGAGUGCAGAAGAGGAGAGUAGAACUCCAUGUGUAGCGGUGGAAUGCGUAGAUAUAUGGAAGAAUACCAGUGGCGAAGGCGGCUCUCUGGUCUGCAACUGACGCUGAGGCUCGAAAGCAUGGGUAGCGAACAGGAUUAGAUACCCUGGUAGUCCAUGCCGU
RNAcentral lists this ribosomal RNA (454 nucleotides) under uncultured bacterium. Its description in RNAcentral is "partial 16S ribosomal RNA". It matches the Rfam family "Bacterial small subunit ribosomal RNA", at positions 355 to 803 of the family's 1533-position model. The record is from RNAcentral.